UUAAUUAGGUGGAGGACAACAUUCCGGAUAGAAAUGCUAAUACCGCAUACGCCCUACCGGGGAAAGGCAGGGGGAUCUUUCGGACCUUGCGCUAUAGAUGGAGCCUAAGUCAGAUUUAGCUAGUUGGUGGGGGUAAGGCCUACCCAAGGCGACGAUCUGUAGCGGGUCUGAGAGGAUGAUCCGCCACACUGGGACUGAGACACGGGCCCAGACUCCUACGGGAGGCAGCAGUGGGGAAUAUUGGACAAUGGGCGCAAAGCCUGAUCCAGCCAUGCCGCGUGUGUGAAGAAGGCCUUUUGGUUGUAAAGCACUUUAAGCGAGGAGGAGGCUACUUGGAUUAAUACUCUAGGAUAGUGGACGUUACUCGCAGAAUAAGCACCGGCUAACUCUGUGCCAGCAGCCGCGGUAAUACAGAGGGUGCGAGCGUUAAUCGGAUUUACUGGGCGUAAAGCGUGCGUAGGCGGCUUUUUAAGUCGGAUGUGAAAUCCCUGAGCUUAACUUAGGAAUUGCAUUCGAUACUGGGAAGCUAGAGUAUGGGAGAGGAUGGUAGAAUUCCAGGUGUAGCGGUGAAAUGCGUAGAGAUCUGGAGGAAUACCGAUGGCGAAGGCAGCCAUCUGGCCUAAUACUGACGC
RNAcentral lists this ribosomal RNA (632 nucleotides) under Acinetobacter johnsonii. RNAcentral describes it as "bacterial SSU rRNA". It matches the Rfam family "Bacterial small subunit ribosomal RNA", at positions 126 to 746 of the family's 1533-position model. The record is from RNAcentral. Lineage: Bacteria; Pseudomonadati; Pseudomonadota; Gammaproteobacteria; Moraxellales; Moraxellaceae.